RNAcentral lists this long non-coding RNA (549 nucleotides) under Urocitellus parryii (Arctic ground squirrel). RNAcentral describes it as "lncRNA (ENSUPAG00010004042.1)". Lineage: Eukaryota; Metazoa; Chordata; Mammalia; Rodentia; Sciuridae. The record is from RNAcentral.
CUUUAUAACAGAUUCCAAAGUGGAGCAACUUGGGAUGAUUGGUGUUUAGUGACCGCCAAGACCAUAACACUGGACAGUGGAGAGGCCUCAGAGAGGAUGAACCCAGUACAUGCCUGAGAACUGAAUUGAAGCCUGAGACCAGCUCUGGGUCUUCCCACCACCACACAGAUCCUCAGCACGGAGCAAAGAUGAAACCCAGGGCUCCCCACCUGUGGGCCAGCUCUCUACACCAUCACACCAGCUGCCCUAGGCCACCGCAUACCUUUAAACACGSCCUUGACCGCACCUCCUGGGCAUGUCCUGGAAGAACCUUGCUGGGGGUCUCACAUCACCCCACAACAUGGCCUUAGGAGACCACAAUAUGCCACCCUAAAAUAUGCUUCUCUAGCAUAUUUUGGGCUCAUUAUUUUACAAAACUGCAUAACAGUAGCUUGGAAAGUCUGUCCUUUUGUAAAAUAUUUCAAGAAAUCUACAAUAAUAAACGACUCCUAUCAGGAUAGCGCUGCCCUGCUCGUGGGCAGCGUUUUGUCUGCAGAAGUCCAGAGCUGA